CAAUAGCGUAUAUUUAAGUUGUUGCAGUUAAAAAGCGCGUAGUUGGAUUUCGGAUGGGAUUUGCCGGUCCGUCGUUACGAUGUGCACUGGCCAGUCCUAUCUUGUUGUCGGGGACUAGCUCCUUGGAUUCACUUCCUGGGACUAGGAGCUGACGAGGUUACUUUGAGUAAAUUAGAGUGUUCAAAGCAAGCCUACGCUCUGAAUACAUUAGCAUGGAAUAACACGAUAGGACUCUGGCUUAUCUUGUUGGUCUGUGAGACCAGAGUAAUGAUUAAGAGGGACAGUCGGGGACAUUCGUAUUUCAUUGUCAGAGGUGAAGUUCUUGGAUUUAUGAAAGACGAACUUCUGCGAAAGCAUUUGUCAAGGAUGUUUUCAUUGA
Molecule: ribosomal RNA, 379 nt
Filed under: uncultured eukaryote
Lineage: Eukaryota
Description: partial 18S ribosomal RNA
Rfam family: Eukaryotic small subunit ribosomal RNA
Source: RNAcentral